This 453-nucleotide ribosomal RNA is filed under the name uncultured bacterium. RNAcentral's name for it is "bacterial SSU rRNA". It matches the Rfam family "Bacterial small subunit ribosomal RNA", at positions 28 to 521 of the family's 1533-position model. The record is from RNAcentral.
GAUAAACGCUGGCGGCGUGCCUAACACAUGCAAGUCGAACGAUCCCGCAAGGGAGAGUGGCGGAAGGGUGAGUAACACGUGGGAAUCUACCUCCUCGCAGGGAACAACCUCUCGAAAGAGAGGCUAAUACCCAAAAGGGUCAGAAAUGAUCAGAGUCGAAAGGCGUGAGGAGAGGAGCCCGCGGCCCAUCAGCUAGUUGGUGAGGUAAUGGCUUACCAAGGCUACGACGGGUAGGGGAUCUGAGAGGAUGUCCCCCACACUGGAACUGAAACACGGUCCAGACGCCUACGGGUGGCAGCAGUGAGGAAUAUUGGACAAUGGGCGAAAGCCCGAUCCAGCAACGCCGCGUGGAGGAUGAAGGCCUUCGGGUCGUAAACUUCUUUAGAGGGAGGACGAGAAAGGACGGUAUCCCUAGAAUAAGCGACGGCAAACUACGUGCCAGCAGCCGGCGGU